CAAUACUGUUACCGUAGGAGGCAUAAACACAAUCCCCUUCAAAUUGGAAGAAUAGUAAGAACGAUAAAAUCGGGGUAAUGGAAUGUCAGUUUGAAUGUUUCUCUCCCUUUAUUUCAGUAGCACUCAUUGUAAUUUUUGAUGAACUUGUUCUUUAACAAAGAAAAUUUGUUCUGAGCAGAGGUUGAGGCCCAGAUGAAAAUUGAGAUUCCAAACCAUGAUCGUGUUGGAUUUCCAUUACCGAUUUUGGUUAUCUUCUGGCUUAUGUUCUUCAGAAUGAACAUUUUUCGUUUAUGAAAUAUUUCUUCCUGUAUAUGACUACGGUUGUGUUGCGUCCCAUUGAAUUGUUUCUGGAACAAAUCUGCAGUCAUAGGUACUUCACCAUGUGGCUUCUUGGUGCUUUAAGUAUAGGAGCUUUUGUGAGGCCAAGAAUUUUAUUUAUUUUUCACCCUCGUGUGCAACACAAACUGAAGGGGAUUCCCAAAAUUCAAUUGCAUAACCCAGUUUCAUAGUCCUUUCAAGAUGUCAAACUUCCAGUAACUCCUAGUUAUAUAGCUUUAGAACUAUGGAUUUUCUCACAAACUAAAUGUAAAAUUGGUUUGUGGGUUCUACCCCUCUCUCUAGCGAUGGACUUUUAUUUGUUUUUUCUUUCCUCCAAAAGGGAAAUCAUUCCAUUGCAUCUCUCCUCUAGAGGGAAAUCAAGUCGUUCUUGUUCGAUGGUGUUAUCGAAGCUCCGGUAUCUCUCUCACUCAUUAUUGGAUUCUUAAAUAAUUGGAUCGCUCUGUUUUGUGUACCAAAUUCAAUCUACCAGCAAGAAAUAUGUACAUGUAGGUUCUCUUUAGUCUUGCCUUUCGUCGCCGUCAUCAGCUAAGAACCAUGGCUCGUUGAAGCUUUGGAGG
Macadamia integrifolia is the source of this 896-nucleotide long non-coding RNA. RefSeq lists it as uncharacterized. The record is from RefSeq and is a predicted model, not a curated record. The transcript is spliced from 2 exons. NCBI's taxonomy places the organism in Eukaryota, Viridiplantae, Streptophyta, Magnoliopsida, Proteales, Proteaceae.